AUUGAACGCUGGCGGCAGGCUUAACACAUGCAAGUCGAGCGGGGGAAGGUAGCUUGCUACCGGACCUAGCGGCGGACGGGUGAGUAAUGCUUAGGAAUCUGCCUAUUAGUGGGGGACAACAUCUCGAAAGGGAAGCUAAUACCGCAUACGUCCUACGGGAGAAAGCAGGGGAUCUUCGGACCUUGCGCUAAUAGAUGAGCCUAAGUCGGAUUAGCUAGUUGGUGGGGUAAAGGCCUACCAAGGCGACGAUCUGUAGCGGGUCUGAGAGGAUGAUCCGCCACACUGGGACUGAGACACGGCCCAGGCUCCUACGGGAGGCAGCAGUGGGGAAUAUUGGACAAUGGGGGGAACCCUGAUCCAGCCAUGCCGCGUGUGUGAAGAAGGCCUUAUGGUUGUAAAGCACUUUAAGCGAGGAGGAGGCUACUUUAGUUAAUACCUAGAGAUAGUGGACGUUACUCGCAGAAUAAGCACCGGCUAACUCUGUGCCAGCAGCCGCGGUAA
This 501-nucleotide ribosomal RNA is filed under the name uncultured bacterium. RNAcentral describes it as "partial 16S ribosomal RNA". It matches the Rfam family "Bacterial small subunit ribosomal RNA", at positions 30 to 523 of the family's 1533-position model. The record is from RNAcentral.